This 501-nucleotide ribosomal RNA is filed under the name uncultured bacterium. RNAcentral's name for it is "partial 16S ribosomal RNA". It matches the Rfam family "Bacterial small subunit ribosomal RNA", at positions 28 to 523 of the family's 1533-position model. The record is from RNAcentral.
GACGAACGCUGGCGGCGUGCUUAACACAUGCAAGUCGAACGGUGAAGGGGAGCUUGCUCCCCGGAUCAGUGGCGAACGGGUGAGUAACACGUGGGCAACCUGCCCCAGACUCCGGAAUAACGCUUCGAAAGAGGUGCUAAUACCGGAUACGAACUCCCAGGGCAUCUUGGGGGUUGGAAAGUUUUUCGGUCUGGGAUGGGCCCGCGGCCUAUCAGCUUGUUGGUGAGGUAACGGCUCACCAAGGCGACGACGGGUAGCCGGCCUGAGAGGGCGACCAGCCACACUGGAACUGAGACACGGUCCAGACUCCUACGGGAGGCAGCAGUGGGGAAUAUUGCACAAUGGGCGCAAGCCUGAUGCAGCCAUGCCGCGUGUAUGAAGAAGGCCUUCGGGUUGUAAAGUACUUUCAGCGGGGAGGAAGGGAGUAAAGUUAAUACCUUUGCUCAUUGACGUUACCCGCAGAAGAAGCACCGGCUAACUCCGUGCCAGCAGCCGCAGUAA